Molecule: ribosomal RNA, 492 nt
Filed under: uncultured bacterium
Lineage: Bacteria
Description: SSU rRNA
Rfam family: Bacterial small subunit ribosomal RNA
Source: RNAcentral
AGGACGAACGCUGGCGGCGUGCUUAACACAUGCAAGUGGAGCGACGAACCAGGGCUUGCCCUGGGGCAGAGCCGCGAACGGGUGAGUAACACGUGGGUUACCUGCCUUGAUGACCGGGACAACCCGAGGAAACUCGGGCUAAUACCGGAUGUGCCCGCAAGGGGAAAGGAAGCUUCGACCUCCGCAUCAAGAUGGGCCCGCGGCCCAUUAGCUUGUUGGUGAGGUAACGGCUCACCAAGGCUUCGAUGGGUAGCUGGUCUGAGAGGACGAUCAGCCACACUGGGACUGAGACACGGCCCAGACUCCUACGGGAGGCAGCAGUGGGGAAUCUUGCGCAAUGCGUGAAAGCGUGACGCAGCAACGCCGCGUGGGGGAAGAAGGCUUUCGGGUUGUAAACCCCUUUCAGUUGGGACGAAGCUUCGACGGUGAAUAGCCGAACGGAGUGACGGUACCUUCACAAGAAGCACCGGCUAACUACGUGCCAGCAGCCGC